AUAAACGCGAUGAUCGGAAACAGUAAGGUUAAUUCCGGGGAUGAAGAGAGCUGCGGGUAGGUGCGACGCAGCCGAAGGAGACCUGAACUCGUCCGGGAGCGGAGCGGCGGAAUCACGUAUGUCAGGCUUAAGCUGAUCAGCUGACUUACGUUAACCGGCAGUGCACGGCCGGUGGGCAGUACGCCGUUACGGGGCGUUCCCGUGAUAGAACGGUCAUUCGAAUGGGGUAAGCCCUCAGGCUUAACCGGACCUCGGAUGACGGCAAAGGGGAUAUUUCGAUGAAGCCGCCUUAAGCGCGCCGAGCCGAAAUAUCAACAAGAGUGGUACCGCGAAGGCACAGCCUGUCGUCUCUUGA
RNAcentral lists this non-coding RNA (355 nucleotides) under Paenibacillus sabinae. Its description in RNAcentral is "T-box sequence". It matches the Rfam family "T-box leader". Rfam says of the family: Uncharged tRNA acts as the effector for transcription antitermination of genes in the T-box leader family. T-boxes are found upstream of many aminoacyl-tRNA synthetase genes and some amino acid biosynthetic genes usually in Gram-positive bacteria. The record is from RNAcentral. Lineage: Bacteria; Bacillati; Bacillota; Bacilli; Caryophanales; Paenibacillaceae.